AACGGCCGUACCAUGCUGAAUAUACCGGUUCUCGUUAGAUCACCGAAGUUAAGCAUCAUUGGGCGCGGUCAGUACUUGGGUGGGUGUAC
Molecule: non-coding RNA, 89 nt
Organism: Caerostris darwini
Lineage: Eukaryota; Metazoa; Arthropoda; Arachnida; Araneae; Araneidae
Source: the annotation of a GenBank genome assembly